CCCUGUAUCGAAAGUGAUUGUGGUCUUCAUGGUGGCCUGGUCACUGAAAAUGCAGGAACAGUGAAAUGAGAGCCUUCCCCGUGUCCGAUGGGCCUUCUGUCCCUAUCCGACCCUGGUUCUCUCAGACA
Small nucleolar RNA from Esox lucius (northern pike), 128 nucleotides. Its record names the gene SNORA71. It matches the Rfam family "Small nucleolar RNA SNORA71". Rfam says of the family: The members of this family belong to the H/ACA class of snoRNAs which bind a number of proteins (including dyskerin, Gar1p and Nop10p) to form snoRNP complexes. NCBI's taxonomy places the organism in Eukaryota, Metazoa, Chordata, Actinopteri, Esociformes, Esocidae. The record is from Ensembl.